UCGUCGUUACAGUGAAGGGCUAUCAACAUUUGAAACAAUAACAAACAGUCAACAGCAAAUGGAAUGUAAAUGUCUUCUGAGGAUGCAGAAGAUCUUUUACAUGAUUCAGUUAUUGAAUUAUUUGACUUAUCUGAUUAUUCUUCAACUUUGCCAAACGAUGCUAAAGCUAAGCUUGAUGCUAAGCUUAAUGAAGUACAGUGUGACUGUCCUUACGUCAUAGAUCAAGAAGUUAAAGGUUUUUACAUUAUUCGUCAUUGGUUUUCCAACUUUGCAGAAGCAAAAGAAUGUCUUGAACUGGAAUUGAGCGAAUUAAGAUAAAGUCAUGAUCACCUUUCAGUGGAAAACCACAGGCUAAGUUGCAGAAUUUUCAUUCUUUAGAGAUGAAAAUGAUAAGCUUCAACUGAAUUUUGACCGUGAAAAUAAUGGUUAUUGAAAGAGAUCUAAAAGCAAGAGGCGGUAUGAAGUUCAUGGGAAGUCAAACUUUCUAAACUCAAUCGCCAGAGAAGAAAUUACAGCAAAAAAGGCUUCAAAGGUCCCUUCCCUGGUAGCACACUCCCAUCCAUCGGUCAUCCUAUGGACGUCGAGAUAUCCUAUUUAGUUCCGUCCCGUCUAUGACGUAGAAAAGACUUCCUUUGGAUGACCCUUUUACGAUGGCUUUAGGCUAUCUUCUUUUGGAUGUCCUCUGGAUGUACGGAUUCGAUGCGCUGCUACAUACAUUUUGAUAUCCCAAAUCUGACCUUUAUCGUCCAUCCUAUGGAUAGACAAAAUUUACGUCUGUUAGACGUCCCUAUAAAUGUAUCCAUUGGAUGAACAAUGACGACGAGAACUUAUGAAAUUUAACCUCUCCUUUUGGCUUAAUAAAUCACGCAGUACAUAAUAA
Molecule: long non-coding RNA, 880 nt
Organism: Daphnia magna
Lineage: Eukaryota; Metazoa; Arthropoda; Branchiopoda; Diplostraca; Daphniidae
Exons: 4
Source: RefSeq, a predicted model, not a curated record